RNAcentral lists this ribosomal RNA (468 nucleotides) under uncultured bacterium. Its description in RNAcentral is "partial 16S ribosomal RNA". It matches the Rfam family "Bacterial small subunit ribosomal RNA", at positions 28 to 507 of the family's 1533-position model. The record is from RNAcentral.
GACGAACGCUGGCGGCGUGCUUAACACAUGCAAGUCGAACGGAAAGGCCCUGCUUUUGUGGGGUGCUCGAGUGGCGAACGGGUGAGUAACACGUGAGUAACCUGCCCUUGACUUUGGGAUAACUUCAGGAAACUGGGGCUAAUACCGUAUAGGAGCUCCUGCUGCAUUGUGGGGGUUGGAAAGUUUCGGCGGUUGGGGAUGGACUCGCGGCUUAUCAGCUUGUUGGUGGGGUAGUGGCUUACCAAGGCUUUGACGGGUAGCCGGCCUGAGAGGGUGACCGGCCACCAUGGGACUGAGAUACGGCCCAGACUCCUACGGGAGGCAGCAGUGGGGAAUAUUGCACAAUGGGCGGACGCCUGAUGCAGCAACGCCGCGUGCGGGAUGACGGCCUUCGGGUUGUAAACCGCUUUCGCCUGUGACGAAGCGUGAGUGACGGUAAUGGGUAAAGAAGCACCGGCUAACUACGUG